RNAcentral lists this ribosomal RNA (252 nucleotides) under uncultured bacterium. RNAcentral's name for it is "partial 16S ribosomal RNA". It matches the Rfam family "Bacterial small subunit ribosomal RNA", at positions 524 to 776 of the family's 1533-position model. The record is from RNAcentral.
UACGAAGGGGCGAGCGUUGUUCGGAAUUACUGGGCGUAAAGGGCGCGCAGGCGGCCUUAGAAGUCAGAUGUGAAAGCCCCGGGCUCAACCUGGGAAUGGCAUUUGAUACUCUGAGGCUGGAGUACGGGAGAGGAGAGUGGAAUUCCCAGUGUAGAGGUGAAAUUCGUAGAUAUUGGGAAGAACACCGGUGGCGAAGGCGGCUCUCUGGACCGUAACUGACGCUGAGGCGCGAAAGCGUGGGGAGCAAACAGG